This 520-nucleotide ribosomal RNA is filed under the name uncultured Helotiales. RNAcentral's name for it is "eukaryotic LSU rRNA". The stretch from base 195 to 348 matches the Rfam family "5.8S ribosomal RNA". The record is from RNAcentral. Lineage: Eukaryota; Fungi; Ascomycota; Leotiomycetes; Helotiales.
GUACAGGUUUCGUAGGUGAACUGUCNNAGGAUCAUGACAGAGUUCAUGCCCUUUCCGGUAGACCUCCCACCCUUGAAUAUAUACCUUUGUUGCUUUGGCGGGCCGCUUCGGCNACUGGCUUCGGCUGGUGAGUGCCCGCCAGAGGACCCAAAAUUCUGAAUUACAGUGUCGUCUGAGUACUAUAUAAUAGUUAAAACUUUCAACAACGGAUCUCUUGGUUCUGGCAUCGAUGAAGAACGCAGCGAAAUGCGAUAAGUAAUGUGAAUUGCAGAAUUCAGUGAAUCAUCGAAUCUUUGAACGCACAUUGCGCCCCGUGGUAUUCCGCGGGGCAUGCCUGUUCGAGCGUCAUUUCAACCCCCUCAAGCCUCGGCUUGGUCUUGGAGCGUGCGAGUUCUCGCAGCCCCUAAACUCAGUGGCGGUGCUAUUGAGCUCUGAGCGUAGUAAAUCUCCUCGCUAUAGAGUCUCGGUGGUUACUUGCCAACAACCCCCAAUUUUUAUCAGGUUGACCUCGGAUCAGGUA